GACAUAGGUGGCGAACGUUAUCCGGAAUUAUUGGGCGUAAAGGGUGCGUAGGCGGUUCGGUAAGUUUCGUGUGAAAUCUUCGGGCUCAACUCGAAGCCUGCACGAGAUACUGCCGGGCUUGAGUGUGGGAGAGGUGAGUGGAAUUUCCGGUGUAGCGGUGAAAUGCGUAGAUAUCGGAAGGAACACCUGUGGCGAAAGCGGCUCACUGGACCACAACUGACGCUGAGGCACGAAAGCUAGGGGAGCAAACAGG
This 253-nucleotide ribosomal RNA is filed under the name uncultured bacterium. Its description in RNAcentral is "partial 16S ribosomal RNA". It matches the Rfam family "Bacterial small subunit ribosomal RNA", at positions 524 to 776 of the family's 1533-position model. The record is from RNAcentral.